RNAcentral lists this long non-coding RNA (202 nucleotides) under Lathyrus oleraceus (garden pea). Its description in RNAcentral is "Pisum sativum (pea) long non-coding RNA (PSAT_LNC020452)". Lineage: Eukaryota; Viridiplantae; Streptophyta; Magnoliopsida; Fabales; Fabaceae. The record is from RNAcentral.
UUUUAACUUCAACUCUUCAUUCUCUCUUUCUAAUUUUCCAUGGUGGUAUUGAGUUCAUCAACCUCUUCAAUAGGGAUAUGGUUGAGUUUAGGUUCAGGAAGAGGUACAGGUAUCCGAGUGACGAAUGGCAUUUUGAUCAUCUCCACCCUUUCCUUUACCCAAUGAAAAUAUGGUUCUUUUGUAAUCCCAUUAGAUCUUCCCA